GGCUCAGGAUGAACGCUAGCUACAGGCUUAACACAUGCAAGUCGAGGGGCAGCGGGAUUGAAGCUUGCUUCAAUUGCCGGCGACCGGCGCACGGGUGAGUAACGCGUAUCCAACCUUCCGUACACUCAGGGAUAGCCUUUCGAAAGAAAGGUUAAUACCUGAUGGUAUGAUGAGAUUGCAUGAUAGCAUCAUUAAAGAUUUAUCGGUGUACGAUGGGGAUGCGUUCCAUUAGGUAGUAGGCGGGGUAACGGCCCACCAAGGCGACGAUCAGUAGGGGUUCUGAGAGGAAGGUCCCCCACAUUGGAACUGAGACACGGUCCAAACUCCUACGGGAGGCAGCAGUGAGGAAUAUUGGUCAAUGGACGAGAGUCUGAACCAGCCAAGUAGCGUGCAGGAUGACGGCCCUAUGGGUUGUAAACUGCUUUUAUAAGGGAAUAAAGUGAGUCUCGUGAGACUUUUUGCAUGUACCUUAUGAAUAAGGACCGGCUAAUUCCGUG
Molecule: ribosomal RNA, 497 nt
Filed under: uncultured bacterium
Lineage: Bacteria
Description: bacterial SSU rRNA
Rfam family: Bacterial small subunit ribosomal RNA
Source: RNAcentral